RNAcentral lists this ribosomal RNA (253 nucleotides) under uncultured bacterium. RNAcentral describes it as "partial 16S ribosomal RNA". It matches the Rfam family "Bacterial small subunit ribosomal RNA", at positions 524 to 776 of the family's 1533-position model. The record is from RNAcentral.
UACGAACUGUGCGAACGUUAUUCGGAAUCACUGGGCUUACAGGGUGCGUAGGCGGCUUGUCAAGUAGGGUGUGAAAGCCCCCGGCUCAACCGGGGAAUUGCGCCCUAAACUGGCGAGCUGGAGUGAGAUAGGGGUGUGUGGAACUUCCGGUGGAGCGGUGAAAUGUGUUGAUAUCGGAAGGAACGCCGGUGGCGAAAGCGACACACUGGAUCUUGUCUGACGCUGAGGCACGAAAGCCAGGGGAGCGAACGGG